This 301-nucleotide ribosomal RNA is filed under the name uncultured bacterium. RNAcentral's name for it is "partial 16S ribosomal RNA". It matches the Rfam family "Bacterial small subunit ribosomal RNA", at positions 509 to 807 of the family's 1533-position model. The record is from RNAcentral.
CAGUCGCCGCGGUAAAACGUAGGGUGCAAGCGUUAAUCGGAAUUACUGGGCGUAAAGCGUGCGCAGGCGGUUAUAUAAGACAGAUGUGAAAUCCCCGGGCUCAACCUGGGAACUGCAUUUGUGACUGUAUAGCUAGAGUACGGCAGAGGGGGAUGGAAUUCCGCGUGUAGCAGUGAAAUGCGUAGAUAUGCGGAGGAACACCGAUGGCGAAGGCAAUCCCCUGGGCCUGUACUGACGCUCAUGCACGAAAGCGUGGGGAGCAAACAGGAUUAGAUACCCCAGUAGUCCCUGUCUCUUAUAC